RNAcentral lists this ribosomal RNA (533 nucleotides) under uncultured Pseudomonadota bacterium. RNAcentral's name for it is "bacterial SSU rRNA". It matches the Rfam family "Bacterial small subunit ribosomal RNA", at positions 8 to 522 of the family's 1533-position model. Lineage: Bacteria; Pseudomonadati; Pseudomonadota. The record is from RNAcentral.
AGAGUUUGAUCCUGGCUCAGAACGAACGUUGGCGGCGCGCCUAACACAUGCAAGUCGCACGAGAAAGGGAGCAAUCCCCGGUACAGUGGCGCACGGGUGAGUAACACGUGGAUAAUCUUCCCUCGAGCGGGGGAUAACCUUCCGAAAGGAGGGCUAAUACCGCAUAAGACUACAGCCAGUUCGCUGGCAGCAGUCAAAGCUGGCCUCUUCACGAAAGCUAGCACUUGAGGAUGAGUCCGCGGCCCAUCAGCUAGUUGGUAGUGUAAAAGACUACCAAGGCUAAGACGGGUAGCUGGUCUGAGAGGAUGAUCAGCCACACUGGAACUGAGACACGGUCCAGACUCCUACGGGAGGCAGCAGUGGGGCAUCUUGCGCAAUGGACGAAAGUCUGACGCAGCGACGCCGCGUGGGUGAUGAAGACCUUCGGGUUGUAAAGCCCUGUGGGGAGGGACGAAUAAGUGGUGGCUAAUAUCCACCAUGAUGACGGUACCUCCUUAGCAAGCACCGGCUAACUUGUGCCAGCAGCCGCGGUA